AGUGAACGCUGGCGGUAGGCCUAACACAUGCCAGUCGAACGGCAGCACAGUAAGAGCUUGCUCUUACGGGUGGCGAGUGGCGGACGGGUGAGGAAUACAUCGGAAUCUACUUUUUCGUGGGGGAUAACGUAGGGAAACUUACGCUAAUACCGCAUACGACCUACGGGUGAAAGCAGGGGAUCUUCGGACCUUGCGCGAUUGAAUGAGCCGAUGUCGGAUUAGCUAGUUGGCGGGGUAAAGGCCCACCAAGGCGACGAUCCGUAGCUGGUCUGAGAGGAUGAUCAGCCACACUGGAACUGAGACACGGUCCAGACUCCUACGGGAGGCAGCAGUGGGGAAUAUUGGACAUUGGGCGCAAGCCUGAUCCAGCCAUACCGCGUGGGUGAAGAAGGCCUUCGGGUUGUAAAGCCCUUUUGUUGGGAAAGAAAAGCAGCAGGUUAAUACCCCGCUGUUCUGACGGUACCCAAAGAAUAAGCACCGGCUAACUUCGUG
This 492-nucleotide ribosomal RNA is filed under the name uncultured bacterium. RNAcentral's name for it is "partial 16S ribosomal RNA". It matches the Rfam family "Bacterial small subunit ribosomal RNA", at positions 29 to 507 of the family's 1533-position model. The record is from RNAcentral.